AGGGGGGGGGGAAGAGGGAUAAAUAACACACGGUUCAUGUUAAAAUUACUUCACACCAUGCCACAAGCUAUUGCACUGAAAAUCCUGCCACUUACACUUUUAUGGUAAAAGCCCCAAACAGCUUCUUGCAACUAAAUCUCCAAUGAUAUGAGAUACUAGAUUUUUUAGGAUAUCUGGCCAAUUGAGAUCCAGAGAACAAUAACCCAGCAAUAGAACAAAAACAGAACCGAGCCACCAACCAACAGCUGCUUUCAUCAGCACUAACCAAAAGUAGACCUCAGACACUAAUCCCAAAUUCACAACUUAGUUAACAA
Telopea speciosissima is the source of this 314-nucleotide long non-coding RNA. RefSeq lists it as uncharacterized. The record is from RefSeq and is a predicted model, not a curated record. Lineage: Eukaryota; Viridiplantae; Streptophyta; Magnoliopsida; Proteales; Proteaceae. The transcript is spliced from 3 exons.